This 301-nucleotide ribosomal RNA is filed under the name uncultured bacterium. RNAcentral's name for it is "partial 16S ribosomal RNA". It matches the Rfam family "Bacterial small subunit ribosomal RNA", at positions 509 to 807 of the family's 1533-position model. The record is from RNAcentral.
CAGCAGCCGCGGUAAUACGAAGGGUGCAAGCGUUACUCGGAAUUACUGGGCGUAAAGCGUGCGUAGGUGGUGGUUUAAGUCCGUUGUGAAAGCCCUGGGCUCAACCUGGGGAUUGCAGUGGAUACUGGGUCACUAGAGUGUGGUAGAGGAUAGUGGAAUUUCCGGUGUAGCAGUGAAAUGCGUAGAGAUCGGAAGGAACAUCUGUGGCGAAGGCGACUAUCUGGGCCAACACUGACACUGAGGCACGAAAGCGUGGGGAGCAAGCAGGAUUAGAUACCCGAGUAGUCCCUGUCUCUUAUAC